Molecule: ribosomal RNA, 378 nt
Filed under: uncultured organism
Description: bacterial SSU rRNA
Rfam family: Bacterial small subunit ribosomal RNA
Source: RNAcentral
CAGAGACCUCAAGCGUUAUCCGGAAUCAUUGGGCGUAAAGCGUACCGAUAGGUGGUUUUACAAGUCAGAAGUGAAAUCUCCGAGCUCAACUCGGAAUCUGUCUUUUGAAACUGUAAAACUAGAGGGGCAAAGAGGAAGCUGGAACGAACGGUGUAGUAGUAAAAUGCGUUGAUAUCGUUCGGAACACCAAUAGCGAAGGCAGGCUUCUGGGUGCCACCUGACACUGCUAGGACGAAAGCGUGGGUAGCGAAUGGGAUUAGAUACCCCAGUAGUCCACGCUGUAAACGAUGCACAUUAGGUGCUAGAGAGUAUCGACCCUCUUUAGUGCCAAAGCUAACGCGUUAAAUGUGCCGCCUGGGGAGUACGGCCGCAAGGCUA